UACGGAGGGGGCAAGCGUUGUUCGGAAUUACUGGGCGUAAAGCGCUUGCAGGCGGCUUUCCAAGUCAGAGGUGAAAUCCCGGAGCUCAACUCCGGAACUGCCAUUGAAACUGUUUAGCUUGAGGAUGAGAGAGGUGAGUGGAAUUCCCAGUGUAGAGGUGAAAUUCGUAGAUAUUGGGAAGAACACCAGUGGCGAAGGCGCUCUGCUAGGCCGUAACUGACACUGAGGGACGAAAGCUAGGGGAGCGAAUGGG
RNAcentral lists this ribosomal RNA (253 nucleotides) under uncultured bacterium. RNAcentral's name for it is "partial 16S ribosomal RNA". It matches the Rfam family "Bacterial small subunit ribosomal RNA", at positions 524 to 776 of the family's 1533-position model. The record is from RNAcentral.